This 493-nucleotide ribosomal RNA is filed under the name uncultured bacterium. RNAcentral describes it as "partial 16S ribosomal RNA". It matches the Rfam family "Bacterial small subunit ribosomal RNA", at positions 30 to 507 of the family's 1533-position model. The record is from RNAcentral.
AUUGAACGCUGGCGGCAUGCUUUACACAUGCAAGUCGAACGGCAGCGAGGAGAAGCUUGCUUCUCUGUCGGCGAGUGGCGAACGGGUGAGUAUAGCAUCGGAACGUGCCAAGUAGUGGGGGAUAACCAAACGAAAGUUUGGCUAAUACCGCGUAAGCUCUAAGGAGGAAAGUAGGGGACCUAAAUAAGGCCUUACGCUAUUUGAUCGGCCGAUGUCGGAUUAGCUAGUUGGUGGGGUAAUGGCUCACCAAGGCAAUGAUCCGUAGCGGGUCUGAGAGGACGAUACGCCACACUGGGACUGAGACACGGCCCAGACUCCUACGGGAGGCAGCAGUGGGGAAUUUUGGACAAUGGGGGAAACCCUGAUCCAGCCAUGCCGCGUGUAUGAAGAAGGCCUUAGGGUUGUAAAGUACUUUUGUUAGGGAAGAAAAGCAAGUUUUUAAUAAAAAUUAGUGAUGACGGUACCUAAAGAAUAAGCACCGGCUAACUACGUG